ACAAGGACACCCCCGCCCCACAACAAAUAACUGUGCAAGAGGCGAGAGUCCAUCCCUGGGGAGAGAAGCAUCGGCCGAGCCGCAGAACAACUGUUGAAGGCAGAGGAAAGCGCUGCAAGUAGAUGUGGAAACACCACAGAACCUAAACAGGGCACUUGUGCCCAUUGUAAAGUUAGUUCAGAAAUGCUUGAUCUCAGAAGCCAAGCACGCUUAAAGCAGAUGAAAAAUUCACUGCAUGUCUGGCAGCAUCUCGAGGGAGAGAAACACAGAUACUUUAGAUCAAAUUAAUGAAAAGUCGUUGACCUGAAACAUUAACUUCUCUCUACACAAAGGGUCCCUGACCUGCCAACUAUUCCCUCCAACUUCUACUUUUAUCUCUGUGGUU
Molecule: long non-coding RNA, 385 nt
Organism: Amblyraja radiata (thorny skate)
Lineage: Eukaryota; Metazoa; Chordata; Chondrichthyes; Rajiformes; Rajidae
Exons: 3
Source: RefSeq, a predicted model, not a curated record